AGUGACAGUACUCCUACAGGCCCUACAACCAGAGAGUCAUACAGUCUCCCAAGCAUGGAGAUUGUGAAGACCCCAGUGACGGGGAGCCAACGGUACAUUUCUGUGAAAAGGUCACUGAAGAGGGAAUACUCUUUUGCUUCCAUGGGAAGCCAUGUGGUCCUUAGACACUGACCCACCCUGGCUCUUGGAAAGUCUGACUGGUAGAGAAAAGAAGACUGAAGAAGCCAAGCAAUUCCUCAUAAACUAACUUCCUAAGAGUAAUCCCAGGGGAGACUUCAGUGAUCGCCAGCAAUUUACAAAAACAGCCCAAGAGAGGACCACCUGUUUAAUCUUGGGACACCCCACAGGGAAGUGUAACCAGAAACAAGUGUAAAAUUGUGAGAUUAACUCAUAGGACAUUUAAAACUCCCACAGGAUUUAUUUCAUUAGGUAUCCUUGAGUUUCAAUGCCUCUCUUAUUCUGUUUCAUAAUUUAUAAUGCUUUUUAUACUUUUUGCAGUGUACAAAUAGAGGGUGUGUGACAUGGUCUCCCAAAGCUUCUCUACAACUCAGUCCCUAUAAGAUAAAUAAACUAAACCUGUCCUCUCUUACAGGAGCACAUGCCACCACACAAAGAAAAACAAAAUUUUUAUUCAACGAGCCACUAGACUGUCUACAAGUCCUGUUCAAAAACUGAAAACACACCAAAAGUCAGUCUAUAUUCUCUCCAUCUGUUACCCUGUGGGUCAAUAAAGCACCCACAAAUAUUGACUCCAUUUAAAUUGAUUUGGAUGUAUGAAUAUUGAAGGACUUGCUGUGGAAGCAGUAAUGCGUGUGUGGUCCUGGAUUUUAUUUCAGCUGUGUGGUCAUCCUUCCAAGGGGUAUGGCUCAAGCUUUCGUGCUCAUGCCUACUCCGUGUCCUCUCAUGAUGUAAGAAUUUUAACUAUUUAUGGGACUCAGAGGGAAGUUUCAGUACUAAAUGACUAGGGAAAAUACCAAAGAUCUUCCCUGUCCACGUGCCGUGUGGUCUUUGCACAUCCUUGACGGAACAUCCAAAGAACGCUGACUCCUCCAUGGGUUUGGUUCACUGGCACAUGAAAACAGUCAUUCACUAUCUCAAGGUUAUAACACUUCCUUCAGGGAUCUGGCCAGUCCUUGUGAGUUCUGAAUUGUCCUUGAAGGAAUUGCUAGGUCAGGCGGGUGGUUAGAAUGGAGCUUUCUUUGCUCUACCUUGUAUUUAAAAAGCCCUGCUGGGAAUAAGACCUCAGAGUCCCAUCUGUGGAGCAGAUGCUGUGCCUGGGACUUCUCGGUCAGGACCAUGAAAAGCUGCCCCAGGACUCCCCGGCUACACGACUUCAGGUGUUGGUGUUUCUCCAAUCAGGUCUCAGUGAAGCUUACAUUGAAAUGUAAUGGAGAAGCCUGAAAACUCACUAGGAGACCACAUCGGACCCAAAGCAGGAGAAGGGGGAAAGAAAAGAUUUUCUGAAGUUAAUAAAGAUGUUCUAAUUGUGAUUUUUGCUGGAUUAAUUUUUGCCUUUUAGGGAUGAUGUUAAAGGUGAAUAACAUUUUCAGGACAAAAGUUGGCAACCGGAUUUUUCUGAAGUUUUUCUUUUUAUAUCUUAAAUUCUUAGACAAAUUAAAUCAAAGUUUAAUGCAUGUUUGUUCAUUGCUGUGGAGCUUCACUUACUGUUCAUUGCUAGGUAGCUUCACUUACAAUAAAUCAUAAAAAUUUU
Sciurus carolinensis (gray squirrel) is the source of this 1711-nucleotide long non-coding RNA. RefSeq lists it as uncharacterized. The transcript is spliced from 2 exons. Lineage: Eukaryota; Metazoa; Chordata; Mammalia; Rodentia; Sciuridae. The record is from RefSeq and is a predicted model, not a curated record.